Molecule: ribosomal RNA, 513 nt
Filed under: uncultured bacterium
Lineage: Bacteria
Description: partial 16S ribosomal RNA
Rfam family: Bacterial small subunit ribosomal RNA
Source: RNAcentral
GACGAACGCUGGCGGCAUGCCUAAUACAUGCAAGUCGAGCGAACAGAUGAAGUGCUUGCACUUCUGACGUUAGCGGCGAACGGGUGAGUAACACGUAAGGAAUCUACCUAUAAGCGGGGGAUAACAUUCGGAAACGGGUGCUAAUACCGCAUAAUAUCUUCUUCCGCAUGGAAGAAGAUUGAAAGACGGCUCUGCUGUCACUUAUAGAUGACCUUGCGGUGCAUUAGUUAGUUGGUGGGGUAAUGGCCUACCAAGACGAUGAUGCAUAGCCGACCUGAGAGGGUGUUCGGCCACAUUGAGACUGAGACACGGCCCAAACUCCGACGGGAGGCAGCAGUAGGGAAUCUUCCGCAAUGGGCGAAAGCCUGACGGAGCAAUGCCGCGUGAGUGAAGAAGGCCUUCGGGUCGUAAAACUCUGUUAUAAGAGAAGAACAAAUUGUAGAGUAACUGCUACAGUCAUGACGGUAUCUUAUCAGAAAGCCACGGCUAACUACGUGCCAGCCGCCGCCGUAA